This is a long non-coding RNA of Bubalus bubalis (water buffalo), 1713 nucleotides long. RefSeq lists it as uncharacterized. NCBI's taxonomy places the organism in Eukaryota, Metazoa, Chordata, Mammalia, Artiodactyla, Bovidae. The transcript is spliced from 2 exons. The record is from RefSeq and is a predicted model, not a curated record.
GAGAAUUGCACGGACCGUAUAGACCACAGGGUCGCAGUCGGACACUACUGAGUGACCUUAACUUUCACUUUUCACGUUCCUGACGCCCAGCUGCGGCGGUUAGUUUGGGCAGGGAAAGAGAAACGCUGAACUUGUUUUCCAGACAGAAAAAUGCUAGGUAGCCGUGGCCUUCAGUUUUACAGGUGGCUGUGACCCAGGGCUCAUCUUUAGCGGGUGCUAACCUGGAAUCAAUCGCGUUAUCAGUUUGUUUCUUUUCAAAAAGGGCUGAUGACGCCACUGCUUUAAUAUUUCCAUGAACCUGUCAGUAUUUGAAAUUUGUAAACUUCAGGAUUUUCGAGGUGGACCACUUUUCACAAAGUAAUCACUCGCAUUUUGAAUACAGUGACCACAUGCCCUCAUGUGAUAGGAACCCAGAUGCCUUGAGUAUAGCUGUCUUUAUGAGAGACGUUGCUGCUGCUGCUGCUGCUGCUGCUAAGUGAGAGACAUUAUGCAGUGACUAAUUAAUGACUCACUGGAACUCUGUAUCUUGGUGCGUUUGCACACCUGGGACUUGUGACAAGUCCUUUUAUGAACACUCACCUUGGGUGAUUUGCAACUGCCGAUUGCCAGCCUUCGUCGAUUUUUCCAUCACUCUGUUUUGAACAUUUUUUUUUUGAAGUGUUGGGUUUCCGUGCCUUAGAUUUCAGCAAAAGACUUGCUACGCUUUCAAGAAACACCCCAUAUAUUGCGGGAUGCUACACCGUAGCGUUCUGACAGUUUUAAAGGAAUCGUUUACAUUUCAGAUGACGAAGUUGUUUGAAACCAAUAAAGAAAGAUGGUAGUCAUUUACAUAAUGAAAACCACUCUGAGGACAGAUCUCUGUCCUCCGCUCCGGGGAUGUCUUCAGGAGGCUGGGGGAGCUCGCAAGAACCAGACCCCUGGAAGCGGCAACGGUGGGGGCCGGGCCCCAUCUGCACACAAUUAACAGCCCAGAGGGUGCAGUUCCUCCCAAUCAGGGCAGCCAGCCGACCCUAAUGCAGACCAGAUGGACCAUUUCUUCACGUGCAAAUGGCGAGUUCAUUGCCCAUCAGAAUGAAGGAGAUACUUAAGGGAAGGAAUUUGAGUUGACAGCUCCCUGAUGCUCAGUCAUGUGGUGUGGAGGCCCAUGGCAGUCAGAUGACAUUCAUGACCGAGGCCUCAGAGCAUGCGGCUGUGGGGGCGGGGGUCCCCCGGCUGAGUUCAGGGUACUUCAGCGCUGGGCCAGUUACCGGAGCUGCAUUUACCCUAGAGGAUUCUCCGUGGAGGGCCAAGGAGAAGGGCAGGUUUGCAGUCUCUGGAGGUGCUCUGUGAGGAAAUAAAGGAAUGUUUGAGUCCCAAGACCUUGAUGGCGGAGGGAGACAGGAGUUCCUUGAAUAGAUCCCAGAGGAGGUGGCAGUGAACGCCUGCGAUGAUUCCUCUCUGAGACUCUCAAGCGGAGAUUUUUACCCCUGUUGCCAUGUCUUCCUCCUACUUCUUCCUGAGAGAAGAAUAAAGAAGUGGGCUGCUCCUACUUUUCCAGGCGUAUUCCUGAGAGGAUAACGCAGUGGGCUAGGUGGUUUCUUCGGUGAACAGUUCCACACCAUUUGCUUCUGCAGGGUGCUCCUUAUGGGGCAUUGGUUUCGGGGCUGAGGAGGGUGGAGGAGAACCCAGUUCUUGACACACACACACACACACCCACCCCUGGAGCUUGAGCUU